UACGUAGGGUGCAAGCGUUAUCCGGAAUUACUGGGCGUAAAGAGCUCGUAGGCGGUUUGUUGCGUCUGCCGUGAAAGUCCGGGGCUCAACUCCGGAUCUGCGGUGGGUACGGGCAGACUAGAGUGAUGUAGGGGAGAGUGGAAUUCCUGGUGUAGCGGUGAAAUGCGCAGAUAUCAGGAGGAACACCGAUGGCGAAGGCAGUUCUCUGGGCAUUAACUGACGCUGAGGAGCGAAAGCAUGGGGAGCGAACAGG
This 253-nucleotide ribosomal RNA is filed under the name uncultured bacterium. RNAcentral's name for it is "partial 16S ribosomal RNA". It matches the Rfam family "Bacterial small subunit ribosomal RNA", at positions 524 to 776 of the family's 1533-position model. The record is from RNAcentral.